Molecule: unclassified non-coding RNA, 294 nt
Filed under: uncultured fungus
Lineage: Eukaryota; Fungi
Description: partial contains small subunit ribosomal RNA, internal transcribed spacer 1, and 5.8S ribosomal RNA
Rfam family: Eukaryotic small subunit ribosomal RNA (bases 1-73)
Source: RNAcentral
UCAAACUUGGUCAUUUAGAGGAAGUAAAAGUCGUAACAAGGUCUCCGUUGGUGAACCAGCGGAGGGAUCAUUACUGAGUUUAUAACUCCCAAACCCCCUGUGAACAUACCUAUCGUUGCUUCGGCGGGACAGCCCCGGCACGCCCCUCUAGGGGGGCCGCCCGGAACCAGGCGCCCGCCGGAGGCCUAAACCUUCUGUAUUUCAACUGUGUCUCCUCUGAGUGGCGAAAGCAAACAAUGAAUCAAAACUUUCAACAACGGAUCUCUUGGCUCUGGCAUCGAUGAAGAACGCAGC